CAAGUCUCUCAUCAGAACUCUGAUUCGGUUCAGAUUCUAGUUCUGAACAACAACCUCUCUCCUCGAGGACCCUGACUCACCUCUCCAUAGUUGUUUGGUCCCGUGCCUGCCACCCCUCAUCUAUGAGGGGUCUGGCCCGGAAGCGAUCCUUAUUCUCCUAACCCAGAUUUGACACCUGGGUCUCUGGUUGCUUCCCUAAGACAGCCAGAAGCCACACUACCAAAAUGGUGGCUGCUAAAUCUUGAGACGGUCAUCGUUCCUGGAGACUGGCAGAGCUGAAUGGGUCAUUCUCUGGCCAGGGAGAGCCAUGCUCCUGCACCCUGGAAUGGAGGUCUGCCCUGGGCUCUGAAUCUUGGGGUUUGGGCUCUCCCGGAACGGUGGUCUCUCCAGACUCUGAACCUUGAGGUUUGGGCUCUCCUGGAAUGAUGGUCUCCCUGGAUUCUGAACCUUAGAGUUUGGGGUCUCCUGGAAUGGUGAUCUCUCCGGAUUCUGAACCUCGGGGUUUGGGCUCCCCUGGAAUGCCGGUCUCCCCAGGCUCUGAACCUCGGGCUCCUUGCCCAUUGCAUAGGCCCCAGCGGGUGCUGGAGAGUGCUGGAGUGCACACGGAACUCAGUUCAAACCUAAGGAACAUGGAGAAAUCCGGAUAUGCCCCGGUCCAUCCUCCUGGCUCCGAAGAGCACAGCUGCUUGUCAUUUAACUGCAUCAACACAGAUGGAUCUUGGCAUGAGAAGACAUUUGAUUUCCUAGUGACCCCGAGACUGCUGGCUUCCACUGUUGCGGGACGGUGGGAGAGGACAGACUCAAAUGAGUAUCAUUCUGAGGAGUUCCCAGAGAAGAGUCAAUUGUGGGGAGAAGUGCAUGAAAAUGACAAUUAAGAUAAGCCUUGGGAGUGUGGAUUUCAUUCUUGCUUGGUCUCUCUGCACCCCCAUUCCCCAAAACCCGGAGCAUGGAUCAAGGGAAUUUUUCUGUCCUGUCAGUCCCACUCAAAAUGGCUAAUUCCCCAUCCCCUCAGACUCUCUGGCCACCAAGUGCUAUCCCUUGGGGGACACCUGGGGGAACCAGUCGAAGAGAAGGGGCAAGAGUGUGGAUCAUGUGUCAAGAAAGGCCACGUGUUCUUGCUGUUCCACAGGCCAACAGGACACUCUAACAGGCCGAUGACUUGGGGAAAAUUUUUGAAAUCCAGGUGUUGUGGAUUUUGUCCACA
Molecule: long non-coding RNA, 1204 nt
Filed under: Ornithorhynchus anatinus (platypus)
Lineage: Eukaryota; Metazoa; Chordata; Mammalia; Monotremata; Ornithorhynchidae
Description: lncRNA (ENSOANG00000047712.1)
Source: RNAcentral